Molecule: unclassified non-coding RNA, 842 nt
Filed under: Hevea brasiliensis (rubber tree)
Lineage: Eukaryota; Viridiplantae; Streptophyta; Magnoliopsida; Malpighiales; Euphorbiaceae
Source: RNAcentral
GAGGAAUAAAACAUGGGGCCUGUGAUUACUUAAUCAAGCCUGUACGCAUGGAAGAGUUGAAGAAUAUAUGGCAGCAUGUCAUUAGGAAAAAAUGCAAUGGAAACAAAGAACAAGAACAUUCAAGUAGCUUCGAGGAUUCUGACCGUCGACAACAUGCGGUUGAUGAUGUCGAUUAUUCAUCGUCAGUUAAUGAUGGCACUGAUGGUACCUGGAGAUCUCAUAAAAAGAAGAGAGAUGUCAAAGAAGAUGAAGAUGGUGAACUAGAAAAUGAGGAUCCUUCAGCACCAAAAAGGCCACGUGUUGUGUGGUCGGUGGAACUCCAUCAGCAAUUUGUCAGUGCUGUCAAUCAGCUCGGCAUUGAUAAGGCUGUCCCCAAGAGGAUUCUGGAAUUGAUGAAUGUUCCUGGUUUGACUAGAGAAAAUAUUGCAAGCCAUUUGCAGAAAUUCAGACUGUACUUGAAGAGAUUGCAUGGAGUAGCUCAACACCAUGGUGCAAUAUCUAAUUCCUUCUGUGGUUCUGUGGAAUCAAAUGCACAAGUGGGCCCAUUGGACAGACUUGAUUUCCAAGCACUGGCUGCUUCAGGCCAAAUCCCCCCACAAACUCUUGCUGCUUUGCAUGCAGAACUUCUAGGACGGCCUUCAGGUGGCCAAGUGUUUCCAGCAAUAAGCAAGCCGGUUCUUUUACAAGCUUCAGUUCAAGGACGUAAACAUAACCACAUAAAACCAGAGGUAGCAUAUGGUCAACCGCUUCUGAAAUCCCAAUCCAACAUAUCAAAACAGAUAUUUCAGGCUAACUUUGCUGUUGAAGACAUGUCUUCUGGAUGUUCGAUGUGGUCCUCUGAU